Molecule: long non-coding RNA, 3529 nt
Filed under: Sus scrofa (pig)
Lineage: Eukaryota; Metazoa; Chordata; Mammalia; Artiodactyla; Suidae
Description: lncRNA (ENSSSCG00000062284.1)
Source: RNAcentral
UCCCUUUCUCAUCACAUGAAGUGUGAACACAGAAGCUUUCAAUUCAGGACUACGUGAGUCAACUACUUUUGAAUUUCUAAAUCUGGUCUUGAUGAAUAUGUAGAGAAGAAUUUUCUCCCUCUCUUUCUCCUUUUCUUUUUCCUUUCUUCUUUUCUUUCGAAGGAAGAUACAAUUAGAUUUUUUUUCUAACAAAAGAUGUUAUGCAACUUGAAAAUAAAGCCUACAUUUGAUUUUCUUCUGCUUUCUAAGUUGGAGUUUUUAGUAUAUAUUAGGCAACUCCAUACAAACAAAAUAUACCAUAAAACAGCAACAACAAAAAACAAGCUGGCUUAUGUUUUUACCUUUAAAUGGAGACAUAUUCAAAGACAUGCCAAUCUGACCUCUAAUUAUUUGAAACAAUUUUACUUUAUUUGAUCUAAGUCUAUGGGGAAAAUGCUAAGCAGAGAUUACACUUCUACAUCCAUCCAAAAAAAAAAAAAAAAAAAAAAAAACUUCUAAAAGUCCUUUCUACGUGUUUGUCACUAAGUCAGUACAGAGACUGGGGUGAGGCAAAUGACGUGUGAGCUUAGGUGUAAAGUUUAAGUAGUCAUGAGAAUUACAAUAAUAAACAUAAACUGUAUUCAUUUCAAUACACUAUUGAAAAGUCAACGUUAAUGCCAAAAAAACCAUGACGAACAAAAUAGUGAAAUUUUACAUAAGGAUGUGAUCAAUCUUAUACUGUACAACUCACCUACCUUAUAUCACAUCUAGUCCUGGCUCUUUUGUUGCUCCCAAUUACUCUCUCAUACAUACUGCUGACAAUGGCUCCAGAUUCUUACUCUUUGUGUCCACCACACUACAAAUAUCACAUGCACACACAUAUACAAACACACACAUCACUUCUCUCUUUAACUCCACCUGAGUUUGUUCUCUCAUGCACUUUCCUUUCUUUAUAACAUAUGAGCUGUUUGAUACUACAACCUGUCCUAUUGGGUUUCUCUAAUUUUCUAACUCCCCUGAUUAACUGCAUUAGGCAAAAUAAAUGUGGUCCCAGUGACUGAGUGAGAAAGAUUCUUUUGUUUUUAGAGGAAGUGUGUCUGUUAUUUCUGAAGAGAGAAAUGUAAUAUGGAGUAAUAUAAUGAUAAUGGCAAGGACACUUACAUUCAUAAAGAAGUGUUCACUUUUUUCAGCACUUUCACAUAUGGUAUGUCCUAGGCUCCUUCUCUGUGACUGACAUAAGAAGGGUAAUUACUACUACUCCUAUUUUAUAGAUGAGAAAACUGAGGCAAAGAGAGAUAAAUUUCCUUGUUCAAGCCCACCUAUUCAAAAAGCAUCUCUGCUUACCCAAUAAGUUGUAUAACCUGAUACUUUGCUAUUUUUUAUUUAAAAUCCAUAUUUGUAGAAAAGGUUAACGUUGUGACUCAUAAUUAGAGAACUGUUUUUCAUGUGAAUGCUUCCUGUGGGCUAUGAGAAAUUUGAUAAUAGAAUUAGCUAGGUGAAUACGCUGCCAUAUAAUAGCAAUUAUUCUGGCUCUGCCAGAUAAAACAAAUGUACACAAUAGGUUUGUGUCUAUAUUUCCAACUGGUUUUAACAACAAUGAUGGUAUGUGCUGUCAAAAAAAAAAAAGUUAGCACUAUCCAAAAAUAGUUUUCUUGCCUUUUGGGUUGAUUUGUCUGUCAAAAUGAUGAACCAAUUGUGCAAGGAGAAUCAGCAUUUAGGGGGUAUCUUUUUAUACCUGUCACAGCAGUCCGUCCUGCCAAAGUGUAAGCUGAUAAAAAUGCCUCAAGUCUUCCCUUAUCAGUCAAGUAUAGCCCUGAUUUUAAGAAGGAAAACUAACUGCAGAGCAAGAUGCUCAGAAAGUAAUAUAAUGAAGAGUGUCUUGAAAAUAAUGUGAGCAACAGCUUUUUGACAUAUGUGUAUUUUACAACACUGAUAAUUUAAAGAAAAUAAAGGAAAAUCAAAAUUCCAUGCUUAUUAAUGACCUAUUUCUUCAUACUGGAUACCAAACUCCAUACCAAAGUACUCAUGUUAAAGUUUUAGCCAUUAAGGAAAAGGGUCAUACCCCUCUAGAAUACACCAAAAAGUGUAUCAAAUUAUUUUCUAAAAUAGCCCAAAGCAGUUCAAGUAGUUUCAGAUUGCUUCAGGCAGUCUUAAAUUCCUAACUGACAAGUGUUAGGGAAUUUAGCUGUAAUCAUCUUUUCAUUCAAGAAAAAGUUAAUAUUGCAAAAAAAUAGAAACAAGCGUUUCAUAUUUGCACAUUUUAAAAUGGAGAACAAAGGGUACAAUGUCCUCCAGAUAAUAUUUAUCUUUGUUUAAAAUUGCUAAAUAGUGCUGGCUAGAAAGAACUAACAAAACAAAUUUCUUCAUACAGUUCUGAGUCUAGAAGGCAUAACCUUCUUUAACAGCAGCACCUGGGAAAAGAACUGCAACAGUAAUUAUAUUUCGGUGACAAUUAUCAUACUUUUAUACAGAUUUCAGAAAAAUGGCCUAACUCAUUAGGAAUCAAGAAAAUAGAUUAAUGUGGUUUAUUGAACCUGAGUCAUCUGAUAAAACUAGAACUCACACUAACUUGUAGUAGAUCUCAUUUUAGCCAUAUAUUGCUGAAAAUAAUUUGAUAUAUUUUCUAUAUUCAUUGACAGCCAAGGAGCUUAAGAGUGUUUAAUAAAUGACUUGGAAACAACAGUGAAAGCAAUGAAAGGUGUUUUCUACUUUAUUCUUACGUGGGGUUAACAGGAUGUUAAAGAUCUCACAUCUCUUCCAAUCCAAGACUAUUCCAGGGAGAUAAUCAUUCACAUUCAGCAUGAACUGCUAAUAGCACAGACUCAAGAUAUGGCUCUUCCAAUAUUAUGGAACUGUUAUCCUUCUUUUUUUUUUUUUCAUUAUUUUGAGUCAAAAUCUGUCAUCUUAUAAGUUCUUCUCAUUGUUCUUAAGUCUAUCUUAUGGGACAGUUUUAAAUAAUUAUAGUACCUUUUCCAAAUGGUAGGACAUCAAAAUCUGGAAGCUGCUAUCACCACUCUUCUAUGGCUUCUAAUUCCAUUUACACAUCCCCAAUUUCCUCAACUUUGCAUUUGUCACACAAAUCAGACAUCUAAAUUCCAUGUCAAAUUCCAGAUUUCAUUUUUAUAUAUUUUCUUGUGAAACACAGGGGUGAUCAUAGAACUUCAAAUAUAUUUACAUAAAAAUAGUUAAUUUCAAAACUAAUAUAGUGGAACUGAGCUCCUAAAAGGAUAUUUCUCCUCUCCCUCUCUCUCCUUCUCUCUCUUUCUCUCCCCAAAUUUAUUAUACUAGAAAUUUUUUUCUUCUUUCAAAAUGUACUCAAAUUUUGGAAUUCCCAUCGUGGUGCAGCGGAAAUGAAUCUGACUAGGAACCAUGAGGUUGCGGGUUCAAUCCCUGGCCUUGCUGUUCAGUGGGUUAAGGAUCCGCGUUGCUCUGAGCUGUGGUGUGGGUUGCAGACACGGCUUGGAUCUGGUAUUGCUGUGUCUGUGAUGUAGGCUGGCAGCUACAGCUCUGAUUAGACCCCGAGCCUGGGAACCUCCAGAUGCCACAGGUG